UACAGAGGUGGCAAGCGUUGUUCGGAAUUACUGGGCGUAAAGGGCGCGUAGGCGGUCACGCACGUCCGUUGUGAAAUCGCUCGGCUCAACUGGGCGGGGUCAGCGGAUACGGCGUGGCUGGAGCAAGCUAGGGGGCAAUGGAAUUCCCGGUGUAGUGGUGGAAUGCGUAGAUAUCGGGAGGAACACCAGUGGCGAAGGCGGUUGCCUGGAGCUUUGCUGACGCUGAUGCGCGAAAGCGUGGGGAGCGAUCCGG
RNAcentral lists this ribosomal RNA (253 nucleotides) under uncultured bacterium. Its description in RNAcentral is "partial 16S ribosomal RNA". It matches the Rfam family "Bacterial small subunit ribosomal RNA", at positions 524 to 776 of the family's 1533-position model. The record is from RNAcentral.